GACACCUGAACAAAGAAAUGUGGUCAUUCAUGCCAUUGCAUCAAUGAAAGCAUGUCUGACGGAGGAAGAGUUUCUCAAUGUAUCUGCCAAGAAAUGCAGUGAGAUCGACACCUUUUUGGAUAGUCCCCAUGUAACAACUUAUCUGAAGACAAAUUGGUUUACUUAUGCGGAGCUGUGGGUAAACUUUGGCAGAACGUUCUAUCACUGUAGCAGUGAGACAAACAACAAGGCUGAAAGCUACAUGGAUGGCCUCAGCGAAGCAGGACGACUGACAUUAUCCAGCUCUGCUGCUCACCAGGCUGCUGCGCUGCUAUUUAAAAAUGGUGUGGGCUAAGAUUUGGACAUAGAAGUGGGGCAGUGCUUUGUGCCAUCACAGUCAACCAACACAGCCUACAAAGUUAACUUGUUACACUUCACGUGUGAAUGCACCAAUUUCCGGAUGGGAAACAUAUGCAAACAUCUUCUCUUGGUGAAGAUGGAGGUAGGCAGGAGAGGUAUUGACAUUGAAAAAAUGCGGAAUAAUAAAGCGCUAGAAAUCAUCAGCCUCCGUCUCUAUCAGCAGACUGAAGAUGAAAUAACCAUCUUCAAUAGUGAUGGGACUAUGAGUAUUGUGAAUAGGAAAACUCCGACUUUGUGCACAUGCAUUGCUAAUAGUUUUGGAGAAAGAUGUGUUUGCAUACAUGUCACACAUGUCCUCAAGCCUCAAGACAUUCUCACAGACCCCAAAGAAAAUGCACAAGUGUCUGAAUCCUCCCAUACAGUCCAUGUUAUCAGACCUACUACAGUGGAGCAACUCCGAAGCAUUUGAACAUACCCCUGAACUGUACCAUACCAUCCAAAGAGCACACAAGCUGGCUUUUGGAAAAUUCACUGCUGUGUCCAGAAAAAGGAAAAUUACCCCUUUACAUGGUUACCGUAAAAAAAUUAAAAAAGCUAGACUGCAGAGAGCAGUAGUUGAGAACUUUAAAAACAAAAGAAGAGCAAGAAGAACUUAAUUCUGUUAUUCUGGAGGUGCCAUUGUUUGCAUGUGAAAGCGCCUGUCUUGUUUGGUUGAUGAAUUUUCUUGGUAGUUGAUCAGGUAAAUAAAAUACUGAUAAUUAAAUCAAAGUUUUAUGAAGUUUUGGGAAAUAUAUAGACUUACAUUAAUGGCAGAAGCAAUAGUAGUGUUUUACCAAUAUGAAAUGUAAAUUAUACCAGCAAAGUGGUGAAGUACACAGGUCCCGUAAUUCAGUAAAAGUAUUGAUCCCC
Long non-coding RNA from Cyprinus carpio (common carp), 1248 nucleotides. RefSeq lists it as uncharacterized. The transcript has 3 exons. The record is from RefSeq and is a predicted model, not a curated record. NCBI's taxonomy places the organism in Eukaryota, Metazoa, Chordata, Actinopteri, Cypriniformes, Cyprinidae.